Molecule: ribosomal RNA, 591 nt
Filed under: Staphylococcus aureus
Lineage: Bacteria; Bacillati; Bacillota; Bacilli; Caryophanales; Staphylococcaceae
Also listed under: 10 other names
Description: partial 23S ribosomal RNA
Rfam family: Bacterial large subunit ribosomal RNA
Source: RNAcentral
UGGAAAUCAUUCAUAGAGUGUAAAGGCAUAAGGGAGCUUGACUGCGAGACCUACAAGUCGAGCAGGGUCGAAAGACGGACUUAGUGAUCCGGUGGUUCCGCAUGGAAGGGCCAUCGCUCAACGGAUAAAAGCUACCCCGGGGAUAACAGGCUUAUCUCCCCCAAGAGUUCACAUCGACGGGGAGGUUUGGCACCUCGAUGUCGGCUCAUCGCAUCCUGGGGCUGUAGUCGGUCCCAAGGGUUGGGCUGUUCGCCCAUUAAAGCGGUACGCGAGCUGGGUUCAGAACGUCGUGAGACAGUUCGGUCCCUAUCCGUCGUGGGCGUAGGAAAUUUGAGAGGAGCUGUCCUUAGUACGAGAGGACCGGGAUGGACAUACCUCUGGUGUACCAGUUGUCGUGCCAACGGCAUAGCUGGGUAGCUAUGUGUGGACGGGAUAAGUGCUGAAAGCAUCUAAGCAUGAAGCCCCCCUCAAGAUGAGAUUUCCCAACUUCGGUUAUAAGAUCCCUCAAAGAUGAUGAGGUUAAUAGGUUCGAGGUGGAAGCAUGGUGACAUGUGGAGCUGACGAAUACUAAUCGAUCGAAGACUUAAUCAA